This 47-nucleotide non-coding RNA is filed under the name Marinomonas sp. MED121. RNAcentral's name for it is "mini-ykkC.2008-01-16 RNA". It matches the Rfam family "Guanidine-II riboswitch aptamer (mini-ykkC)". Rfam says of the family: Simpler in structure and has fewer highly conserved nucleotide positions than the ykkC-yxkD leader. Despite this each of its two stem-loop structures directly bind free guanidine. The record is from RNAcentral. Lineage: Bacteria; Pseudomonadati; Pseudomonadota; Gammaproteobacteria; Oceanospirillales; Oceanospirillaceae.
UUUAAUCAGGACGACCUGAUUAAAGGAUUUAUUCUCGGGACGACCCG